This 461-nucleotide ribosomal RNA is filed under the name Tetrastemma album. Its description in RNAcentral is "partial large subunit ribosomal RNA". It matches the Rfam family "Bacterial large subunit ribosomal RNA", at positions 1829 to 2597 of the family's 2925-position model. The record is from RNAcentral. Lineage: Eukaryota; Metazoa; Nemertea; Enopla; Monostilifera; Tetrastemmatidae.
AGUCUUUUGUUUUUUUAUAAAAGGUGUUUUUUGGUCAGUGAUUAAUAAAUAGCCGCGGUAAUUUGACCGUGCAAAGGUAGCAUGAUCAUUUGCCUCGUAAUUGGGGGCUAGAAUGAAUGAAAGUACGAGAUUUAAGCUUUAUUUUUUAAAAGUAUAUAAUUUGUUUUUUAAGUGAAGAAACUUAAUUAUUGAUGUGGGACAAGAAGACCCUUUUGAGCUUUAUUUUUUUUUUAAAUUUUUUUUUAAAAUUAAUUUGGUUGGGGCGACCGAGGAAGAGUGAUCUUCCUUUUUUUAUUUUGAUCCAAUUUUAUUGAUUAAUAGAACAAGUUACCAAAGGGAUAACAGCGUUAUUUUUUUUGAGAGUUCUUAUUAAAAAAAAAGAUUGCGACCUCGAUGUUGACUUAUAGUUUCCUUUUGGUGUAGCCGCUAGUUAGGUUAGUCUGUUCGACUAUUAAAAUUUU